This 122-nucleotide small nucleolar RNA is filed under the name Nannospalax galili (Upper Galilee mountains blind mole rat). Its description in RNAcentral is "Small nucleolar RNA SNORA61 (ENSNGAG00000002815.1)". Lineage: Eukaryota; Metazoa; Chordata; Mammalia; Rodentia; Spalacidae. The record is from RNAcentral.
AGCCUUUGGUUCCCUUUCUCAUCAGUUUCAACACUGGUCUUGGUGGUAAAGGAGGAAGAGUCCUGAAGCUGCCUCCCCACCCUGUAGUCUGGCAUUGACAUGCAGGCUGAAUUCAAACAGGG